AGCCGCGGUAAUACGUAGGUGGCAAGCGUUGUCCGGAAUUAUUGGGCGUAAAGCGCGCGCAGGUGGUUCCUUAAGUCUGAUGUGAAAGCCCCCGGCUCAACCGGGGAGGGUCAUUGGAAACUGGGGAACUUGAGUGCAGAAGAGAAGAGUGGAAUUCCACGUGUAGCGGUGAAAUGCGUAGAGAUGUGGAGGAACACCAGUGGCGAAGGCGACUCUUUGGUCUGUAACUGACGCUGAGGCGCGAAAGCGUGGGGAGCAAACAGGAUUAGAUACCCUGGUAGUCCACGCCGUAAACGAUGAGUGCUAAGUGUUAGAGGGUUUCCGCCCUUUAGUGCUGCAGCAAACGCAUUAAGCACUCCGCCUGGGGAGUACGGCCGCAAGGCUGAAACUCAAAGGAAUUGACGG
This 405-nucleotide ribosomal RNA is filed under the name uncultured organism. Its description in RNAcentral is "SSU rRNA". It matches the Rfam family "Bacterial small subunit ribosomal RNA", at positions 513 to 916 of the family's 1533-position model. The record is from RNAcentral.